Molecule: non-coding RNA, 30 nt
Filed under: Rattus norvegicus (Norway rat)
Lineage: Eukaryota; Metazoa; Chordata; Mammalia; Rodentia; Muridae
Source: RNAcentral
UAAACAGGAGUUUGACAUCAACGUAUGGGA